RNAcentral lists this transfer RNA (72 nucleotides) under Cavia porcellus (domestic guinea pig). It matches the Rfam family "tRNA". Rfam says of the family: Transfer RNA (tRNA) molecules are approximately 80 nucleotides in length. Their secondary structure includes four short double-helical elements and three loops (D, anti-codon, and T loops). The record is from Rfam by way of RNAcentral. Lineage: Eukaryota; Metazoa; Chordata; Mammalia; Rodentia; Caviidae.
AGGGGUGUAGCUCAGUGUUAGAGUACUUACCUAGCAUGUACAAGGCCCUGGGUUUGAACCCCAUCCCCCCCA